RNAcentral lists this transfer RNA (76 nucleotides) under Haloferula rosea. RNAcentral describes it as "tRNA-Trp". It matches the Rfam family "tRNA". From Rfam's summary of the family: Transfer RNA (tRNA) molecules are approximately 80 nucleotides in length. Lineage: Bacteria; Pseudomonadati; Verrucomicrobiota; Verrucomicrobiia; Verrucomicrobiales; Verrucomicrobiaceae. The record is from RNAcentral. RNAcentral also lists the same sequence under 2 other names.
ACGGCAGUAGCUCAAUUGGUAGAGCAUCGGUUUCCAAAACCGACGGUUGCGGGUUCAAGUCCCUCCUGCCGUGCCA